This 497-nucleotide ribosomal RNA is filed under the name uncultured bacterium. RNAcentral describes it as "partial 16S ribosomal RNA". It matches the Rfam family "Bacterial small subunit ribosomal RNA", at positions 28 to 507 of the family's 1533-position model. The record is from RNAcentral.
GACGAACGCUGGCGGCGUGCCUAAUACAUGCAAGUAGAACGCUGAAGAGAGGAGCUUGCUCUUCUUGGAUGAGUUGCGAACGGGUGAGUAACGCGUAGGUAACCUGCCUUGUAGCGGGGGAUAACUAUUGGAAACGAUAGCUAAUACCGCAUAACAAUGGAUGACCCAUGUCAUUUAUUUGAAAGGGGCAAAUGCUCCACUACAAGAUGGACCUGCGUUGUAUUAGCUAGUGGGUGAGGUAACGGCUCACCUAGGCGACGAUACAUAGCCGACCUGAGAGGGUGAUCCGCCACACUGGGACUGAGACACGGCCCAGACUCCUACGGGAGGCAGCAGUAGGGAAUCUUCGGCAAUGGGGGCAACCCUGACCGAGCAACGCCGCGUGAGUGAAGAAGGUUUUCGGAUCGUAAAGCUCUGUUGUAAGUCAAGAACGAGUGUGAGAGUGGAAAGUUCACACUGUGACGGUAGCUUACCAGAAAGGGACGGCUAACUACGUG